RNAcentral lists this ribosomal RNA (303 nucleotides) under uncultured bacterium. RNAcentral describes it as "partial 16S ribosomal RNA". It matches the Rfam family "Archaeal small subunit ribosomal RNA", at positions 457 to 760 of the family's 1478-position model. The record is from RNAcentral.
AGCAGUAGCCGCGGGAAAACCAGCACCUCGAGUGGUCAGGAGGUUUAUUGGGCCUAAAGCAUCCGUAGCCGGUCGCAUAAGUUUUCGGUUAAAUCUAUGCGCUUAACGUAUAGGCCGCCGAAAAUACUGUGCAGCUAGGGAGUGGGAGAGGUACACGGUACUCGAUAGGAAGGGGUAAAAUCCUUUGAUCUAUUGAUGACCACCUGUGGCGAAGGCGGUGUACCAGAACACGUUCGACGCUGAGGCACGAAAGCGUGGGGAGCAAACAGGAUUAGAUACCCCUGUAGUCCCUGUCUCUUAUAC